This 1597-nucleotide ribosomal RNA is filed under the name Bacillus cereus VDM053. Its description in RNAcentral is "bacterial LSU rRNA". It matches the Rfam family "Bacterial large subunit ribosomal RNA", at positions 1323 to 2925 of the family's 2925-position model. The record is from RNAcentral. Lineage: Bacteria; Bacillati; Bacillota; Bacilli; Caryophanales; Bacillaceae.
GAGAAUCCCGUCCACCGAAUGCCUAAGGUUUCCUGAGGAAGGCUCGUCCGCUCAGGGUUAGUCAGGACCUAAGCCGAGGCCGACAGGCGUAGGCGAUGGACAACAGGUUGAUAUUCCUGUACCACCUCUUUAUCGUUUGAGCAAUGGAGGGACGCAGAAGGAUAGAAGAAGCGUGCGAUUGGUUGUGCACGUCCAAGCAGUUAGGCUGAUAAGUAGGCAAAUCCGCUUAUCGCGUAUGCUGAGCUGUGAUGGGGAAGCUCCUUAUGGAGCGAAGUCUUUGAUUCCCCGCUGCCAAGAAAAGCUUCUAGCGAGAUAAAAGGUGCCUGUACCGCAAACCGACACAGGUAGGCGAGGAGAGAAUCCUAAGGUGUGCGAGAGAACUCUGGUUAAGGAACUCGGCAAAAUGACCCCGUAACUUCGGGAGAAGGGGUGCUUUCUUAACGGAAAGCCGCAGUGAAUAGGCCCAAGCGACUGUUUAGCAAAAACACAGGUCUCUGCGAAGCCGUAAGGCGAAGUAUAGGGGCUGACACCUGCCCGGUGCUGGAAGGUUAAGGAGAGGGGUUAGCGUAAGCGAAGCUCUGAACUGAAGCCCCAGUAAACGGCGGCCGUAACUAUAACGGUCCUAAGGUAGCGAAAUUCCUUGUCGGGUAAGUUCCGACCCGCACGAAAGGUGUAACGAUUUGGGCACUGUCUCAACCAGAGACUCGGUGAAAUUAUAGUACCUGUGAAGAUGCAGGUUACCCGCGACAGGACGGAAAGACCCCGUGGAGCUUUACUGUAGCCUGAUAUUGAAUUUUGGUACAGUUUGUACAGGAUAGGCGGGAGCCAUUGAAACCGGAGCGCUAGCUUCGGUGGAGGCGCUGGUGGGAUACCGCCCUGACUGUAUUGAAAUUCUAACCUACGGGUCUUAUCGACCCGGGAGACAGUGUCAGGUGGGCAGUUUGACUGGGGCGGUCGCCUCCUAAAGUGUAACGGAGGCGCCCAAAGGUUCCCUCAGAAUGGUUGGAAAUCAUUCGUAGAGUGCAAAGGCAUAAGGGAGCUUGACUGCGAGACCUACAAGUCGAGCAGGGACGAAAGUCGGGCUUAGUGAUCCGGUGGUUCCGCAUGGAAGGGCCAUCGCUCAACGGAUAAAAGCUACCCCGGGGAUAACAGGCUUAUCUCCCCCAAGAGUCCACAUCGACGGGGAGGUUUGGCACCUCGAUGUCGGCUCAUCGCAUCCUGGGGCUGUAGUCGGUCCCAAGGGUUGGGCUGUUCGCCCAUUAAAGCGGUACGCGAGCUGGGUUCAGAACGUCGUGAGACAGUUCGGUCCCUAUCCGUCGUGGGCGUAGGAAAUUUGAGAGGAGCUGUCCUUAGUACGAGAGGACCGGGAUGGACGCACCGCUGGUGUACCAGUUGUUCUGCCAAGGGCAUAGCUGGGUAGCUAUGUGCGGAAGGGAUAAGUGCUGAAAGCAUCUAAGCAUGAAGCCCCCCUCAAGAUGAGAUUUCCCAUAGCGUAAGCUAGUAAGAUCCCUGAAAGAUGAUCAGGUUGAUAGGUUCGAGGUGGAAGCAUGGUGACAUGUGGAGCUGACGAAUACUAAUAGAUCGAGGACUUAACCAU